Molecule: non-coding RNA, 140 nt
Organism: Caenorhabditis elegans
Lineage: Eukaryota; Metazoa; Nematoda; Chromadorea; Rhabditida; Rhabditidae
Source: Ensembl
GGUGCCAACAACGAAUAGACACUAUGUAAAUUUAAGAGUUUUGAAAAAACCUUCACAAUGGCUUGCAGCGCGCAACUUCCCGAGACUGAUUAGCGUUGUCCGAAAUGCAAAUCUAGAGAUUCAAUAAUUGAGAGACGCAG